GAAAGCGGGGGACCGUAAGGCCUCGCGCGAUUGGAGCGGCCGAUGUCAGAUUAGGUAGUUGGUGGGGUAAAGGCUCACCAAGCCAACGAUCUGUAGCUGGUCUGAGAGGACGACCAGCCACACUGGAACUGAGACACGGUCCAGACUCCUACGGGAGGCAGCAGUGGGGAAUUUUGGACAAUGGGCGCAAGCCUGAUCCAGCAAUGCCGCGUGCAGGAAGAAGGCCUUCGGGUUGUAAACUGCUUUUGUACGGAACGAAACGGUCUGAGUUAAUACCUCGGGCUAAUGACGGUACCGUAAGAAUAAGCACCGGCUAACUACGUGCCAGCAGCCGCGGUAAUACGUAGGGUGCAAGCGUUAAUCGGAAUUACUGGGCGUAAAGCGUGCGCAGGCGGUGAUGUAAGACAGUCGUGAAAUCCCCGGGCUCAACCUGGGAAUUGCGAUUGUGACUGCAUCGCUGGAGUGCGGCAGAGGGGGAUGGAAUUCCGCGUGUAGCAGUGAAAUGCGUAGAUAUGCGGAGGAACACCGAUGGCGAAGGCAAUCCCCUGGGCCUGCACUGACGCUCAUGCACGAAAGCGUGGGGAGCAAACAGGAUUAGAUACCCUGGUAGUCCACGCCCUAAACGAUGUCAACUGGUUGUUGGGUCUCU
Molecule: ribosomal RNA, 649 nt
Filed under: uncultured bacterium
Lineage: Bacteria
Description: bacterial SSU rRNA
Rfam family: Bacterial small subunit ribosomal RNA
Source: RNAcentral